UACGUAGGUGGCAAGCGUUAUCCGGAAUGACUGGGCGUAAAGGGUGCGUAGGUGGUUUGGCAAGUUGGCGGCGUAAUUCCGAGGCUCAACCUCGGCGCUACCGCCAAAACUGUCGGACUUGAGUGCAGGAGGGGUAAGUGGAAUUCCUAGUGUAGCGGUGGAAUGCGUAGAUAUUAGGAGGAACAUCGGUGGCGAAGGCGCCCUGGGUCUGUACUGACGCUGAGAUGCGAAAGCGUGGGGAGCGAACGGG
This 250-nucleotide ribosomal RNA is filed under the name uncultured bacterium. RNAcentral's name for it is "partial 16S ribosomal RNA". It matches the Rfam family "Bacterial small subunit ribosomal RNA", at positions 524 to 776 of the family's 1533-position model. The record is from RNAcentral.